Molecule: transfer RNA, 71 nt
Filed under: Aspergillus sclerotioniger
Lineage: Eukaryota; Fungi; Ascomycota; Eurotiomycetes; Eurotiales; Aspergillaceae
Description: tRNA-Met
Rfam family: tRNA
About the family: Transfer RNA (tRNA) molecules are approximately 80 nucleotides in length. Their secondary structure includes four short double-helical elements and three loops (D, anti-codon, and T loops).
Source: RNAcentral
UGCGAGUUGAUGUAAUAGUAACAUAUAGGGCUCAUGACCCUAAAUUUUAGGUGUAACUCCUAAAUUCGCAA